Molecule: small RNA, 165 nt
Filed under: Pongo abelii (Sumatran orangutan)
Lineage: Eukaryota; Metazoa; Chordata; Mammalia; Primates; Hominidae
Source: RNAcentral
CUGCACUCCAGCCUGGGCGACAGAGCGAGACUCCGUGUCAAAUUUUCUUUUCCUUUUUUUUUUUUGAGAUAGACUUUCGCUCUGUUGCCCAGGCUGGAGUGCAGUGGCGCGAUCUCGGCUCACUGCAAGCUUCGCCUCCAGGGUUCAAGCGAUUCUCCUGCCUCA